UGGGGAAUCUUCCGCAAUGGACGAAAGUCUGACGGAGCAACGCCGCGUGUAUGACGAAGGCCUUCGGGUUGUAAAGUACUGUCUUUGGGGACGAACGGUAUCUAUGUAAAUAAUGNAGAUACAUGACGGUACCCAAGGAGGAAGCCCCGCUAACUACGUGCCAGCAGCCGCGGUAAUACGUAGGGGGCGAGCGUUGUCCGGAAUCAUUGGGCGUAAAGGGCGCGUAGGCGGGUCAUUAAGUCUGGUGUGAAAGGCAGGGGCUCAACCCCUGGAAGGCACCGGAACUGGUUAUCUUGAGGACAGGAGAGGAAAGCGGAAUUCCACGUGUAGCGGUGAAAUGCGUAGAUAUGUGGAGGAACACCAGUGGCGAAGGCGGCUUUCUGGACUGUAACUGACGCUNA
This 401-nucleotide ribosomal RNA is filed under the name uncultured bacterium. RNAcentral describes it as "partial 16S ribosomal RNA". It matches the Rfam family "Bacterial small subunit ribosomal RNA", at positions 355 to 749 of the family's 1533-position model. The record is from RNAcentral.